This 405-nucleotide long non-coding RNA is filed under the name Nicotiana tabacum (common tobacco). RNAcentral describes it as "long non-coding RNA (NTAB_LNC006013)". The record is from RNAcentral. Lineage: Eukaryota; Viridiplantae; Streptophyta; Magnoliopsida; Solanales; Solanaceae.
UCGUGAUAAUGGCUUUCGCUUCAGGUAUGUAAUCUAUAACGAUUUUGUGUAAAAAUAUCAUGUUUAAGAUCCUGAUAUGCAUUAAAGUAUUUAAGUUUACAUGUGAUAUCUUGAGCAUGGAUAUUUGAACUGAUAAUGUUCGUUAGCAAACUUUAUACUAUAUAUGUUUGAUUGCGGUAUUGUUACGAAAUAAAGAUUUGAUCAUGAGUACAGGUUUUCUGUUCAUGGGCAAAGCAUCAGUGAUGGAUCAUAAUUUUAUGGGAAAAGGCAAUCAACUCCAAGUACUAUUACCUCUCUUAUCUUACGUUUUAAAAUAGUAUAUUUGAUCUUGUAAUCACUUCUUGAAGGAGAAGCAUAUAACUAUUCAAUUUGGAUGACCAGUUUUGACGCCGAAAGUCAAACUGC